ACUCUAAAUGAUGAAUGUUUGGUAUCAUGAUCAAAAUGUUGACAAAUAGUUAAAAAUUUUAGUAUCAUGUAUGAUAUCCUUAUAAUGUUGAUCGAUUUAUUCAAUAUCAUGCAUGAAUGAAUAUAAGGUUUUUGAAAAUGUGCAUAUUCUAAUUUGAAAAUAUGAUGAUGCACAAAUAAGAUUGAUACUUACCUUUGUCAUAAUUGAUGUAAAGGGUCUUCCCGUCUUUUUGACAAUGACAAAGGGGGAGAUAGCUAGCUUGCACAAGUCAAGAAGAUGCAAAAACUUGAUUGCUAGCUUGCCUAUCUUAAGUAACAAAGAUUGCUAACUUGCUUAUUUCAAGAAGCAAAAGUUGUCUUCUUGAACAUCAUUAUCUUGCCCAUCUCAA
This 388-nucleotide long non-coding RNA is filed under the name Musa acuminata (dwarf banana). Its description in RNAcentral is "long non-coding RNA (MACU_LNC007018)". Lineage: Eukaryota; Viridiplantae; Streptophyta; Magnoliopsida; Zingiberales; Musaceae. The record is from RNAcentral.